Molecule: long non-coding RNA, 492 nt
Filed under: Mytilus galloprovincialis (Mediterranean mussel)
Lineage: Eukaryota; Metazoa; Mollusca; Bivalvia; Mytilida; Mytilidae
Source: RNAcentral
GUAGAAAAUGGUGGAUUGAACCUGUUUUUAUAGCGCUAAACCUCUCACUUUUAUGACAGUCGCAACAAAUUCCAUAAGCAAUGGCAAUCAUUGUGAAAUAAUGCACAAGGAAAUUAAAAAUUAUACCCAUCGUCCAUCUUUCCAGAAGAUCAUCAUGGGCAGUAUUAUGUCUUAUAACAGAGUACCUAUGUACAGACCAAUCUCCAUUUGUAACUCGUGCUAUGGUAUUACAUGGAGUGUAUUCAUCAUUCAGUGAAAAUUCUAACAUCUUCUAAGCUUGUUAAAAGGAAAGGUAUGUUUUAAACCUAGAAAAUAGCUGUCAAGUAGAAUGUUUUUUUCUUCAAAUUUUGAGUGUAUUGCUAAUCCACAAAAGGGCAGAGAUAAACAAUUUCAGCUAUAUGCUCCUGUCUGGAAAUGUUUACUUAAAAUGAUUUAAUAGAGCUAUAACAAUAGGACUUUUAAAGUCAUGUAGUUAUCAACCAUAUAAAAAAA